AACCCGGCUCCGUGAAGCUGGAUUCGCUAGUAAUCGCGCAUCAGCCAUGGCGCGGUGAAUACGUUCCCGGGCCUUGUACACACCGCCCGUCAAGCCAUGGGAGCCGGGGGCGCCUGAAGUGCGGUACCGCGAGGGCCGCCCAAGGGCGAGACCGGUGACUGGGGCUAAGUCGUAACAAGGUACC
This 184-nucleotide ribosomal RNA is filed under the name uncultured bacterium. RNAcentral describes it as "partial 16S ribosomal RNA". It matches the Rfam family "Bacterial small subunit ribosomal RNA", at positions 1309 to 1500 of the family's 1533-position model. The record is from RNAcentral.